Cherax quadricarinatus is the source of this 501-nucleotide non-coding RNA. The record is from RefSeq and is a predicted model, not a curated record. NCBI's taxonomy places the organism in Eukaryota, Metazoa, Arthropoda, Malacostraca, Decapoda, Parastacidae.
CUAGGAGUGCCAGAUGUUACUGGACACAUCCAAUGAGGCGGAUAAUAUUUUAUUUGGUGCUGGGACGCGGUGGACGCAGGUUCAUUACACCGUUCUCUCCACUACCUGUCUGGCUUGCUUAUCUAACUUUCAGUUCAUUCAUCAAAGAUGUCAUGGUCACGGUUCAUGGCGGUGGGGUUGGUGGUGGUGGUAGUGUCAUACAAGGUGAAGGAGAUGAUGGAGGAGCCUCCACUUCCCCACCUUGAACCUGACCCUUGGUGGGGGCCAGGGGAACCACAGGACGAAGAUGUCUCCAUCAAUCGUUUCAGCAUUAACAUUUCUGACGAGGACUUGCGAGAUUUUAAGGCUCGCCUGGCACUGCCUCUGAGACUGACUCCAGCUCUGGAAGGUGCCAAUUUCACAUAUGGUAUGAACUCUGACACCUUGCAAAAAAUUGUGAAGUAUUGGAGGGAGAAAUACGACUGGAGGGAGAGAGAGGCAAGACUCAACUCUUACCCCCAU